CGUAGGGUGUGAGCGUUAAUCGGAAUUACUGGGCGUAAAGCGUGCGCAGGCGGUUUUGUAAGACAGAUGUGAAAUCCCCCGGGCUCAACCUGGGACCUGCAUUUGUGACUGCAAGGCUAGAGUACGGUAGAGGGGGAUGGAAUUCCGCGUGUAGCAGUGAAAUGCGUAGAUAUGCGGAGGAACACCGAUGGCGAAGGCAAUCCCCUGGACCUGUACUGACGCUCAUGCACGAAAGCGUGGGGAGCAAACAGGAUUAGAUACCCUGGUAGUCCACGCCCUAAACGAUGUCAACUGGUUGUUGGGUCUUUACUGACUCAGUAACGAAGCUAACGCGUGAAGUUGACCGCCUGGGGAGUACGGCCGCAAGGUUG
This 371-nucleotide ribosomal RNA is filed under the name uncultured organism. Its description in RNAcentral is "bacterial SSU rRNA". It matches the Rfam family "Bacterial small subunit ribosomal RNA", at positions 526 to 896 of the family's 1533-position model. The record is from RNAcentral.